RNAcentral lists this ribosomal RNA (379 nucleotides) under uncultured bacterium. RNAcentral describes it as "bacterial SSU rRNA". It matches the Rfam family "Bacterial small subunit ribosomal RNA", at positions 28 to 404 of the family's 1533-position model. The record is from RNAcentral.
GACGAACGCUGGCGGCGUGCCUAACACAUGUAAGUCGCACGGGACCGGGGGCAACUCCGGUUCAGUGGCAGACGGGUGCGUAACACGUGAAGAACCUGUCCAACGGCGGGGGAUAGCCGGCCCAACGGCCGGGUAAUACCGCAUACGAUCGUUCGGGGGCAUCCCUGGGCGAUGAAAGCAGCCGCAAGGUUGCGCCGAUGGAGGGCUUCGCGGCCUAUCAGCUAGUUGGCGGGGUAACGGCCCACCAAGGCACGACGGGUAGCUGGUCUGAGAGGAUGGCCAGCCACAUUGGGACUGAGACACGGCCAGACUCCUACGGGAGGCAGCAGUGGGGAAUCUUGCGCAAUGGCCGCAAGGCUGACGCAGCGACGCCGCGUGU